RNAcentral lists this transfer RNA (71 nucleotides) under Nocardiopsis terrae. RNAcentral describes it as "tRNA-Gln". It matches the Rfam family "tRNA". Rfam says of the family: Transfer RNA (tRNA) molecules are approximately 80 nucleotides in length. Their secondary structure includes four short double-helical elements and three loops (D, anti-codon, and T loops). Further hydrogen bonds mediate the characteristic L-shaped molecular structure. tRNAs have two regions of fundamental functional importance: the anti-codon, which is responsible for specific mRNA codon recognition, and the 3' end, to which the tRNAs corresponding amino acid is attached (by aminoacyl-tRNA synthetases). tRNAs cope with the degeneracy of the genetic code in two manners: having more than one tRNA (with a specific anti-codon) for a particular amino acid; and 'wobble' base-pairing, i.e. permitting non-standard base-pairing at the 3rd anti-codon position. The record is from RNAcentral. Lineage: Bacteria; Bacillati; Actinomycetota; Actinomycetes; Streptosporangiales; Nocardiopsidaceae.
UCCCGGAUGAUGUAAUGGCAGCAUCUGGGGUUUUGGUCCCCAUCGUCCAGGUUCGAGUCCUGGUCCGGGAG